GGGGAUUCUGAGCACCAUUGUCCAAUACUACGAGGGACAAGACCUCUCCAGGCUCAUCGGAGCUCACCCUCUGACUGGGACCCUCAUGAUGCCCUUCGCUCCUGGCCUCGGAUUGGUCCAGAUGGGGACCCCCCCAGAGUCUUCAUGGAUCCCCUCCAUGUCAGGAUGCUCAGGAGCUCCAACACCAAUGUUCCUCUUCUGAUUGUGGAUUAGUUAAUGACCAGGGUCGGCAAAAUCCUCCCUGCCCACUAUCGCUAAAGGAUCCCUGAAAAGGAGCCAAGGAGAAGGAAAGACGUUGGACGCCCAGCCUUUGCCCCCUUCCUUCCUUCUCUCCCCUCCCCUGUCCCAGAUCA
Molecule: long non-coding RNA, 353 nt
Organism: Sceloporus undulatus (fence lizard)
Lineage: Eukaryota; Metazoa; Chordata; Lepidosauria; Squamata; Phrynosomatidae
Exons: 3
Source: RefSeq, a predicted model, not a curated record